Molecule: ribosomal RNA, 253 nt
Filed under: uncultured bacterium
Lineage: Bacteria
Description: partial 16S ribosomal RNA
Rfam family: Bacterial small subunit ribosomal RNA
Source: RNAcentral
UACGUAGGGUGCAAGCGUUAUCCGGAAUUAUUGGGCGUAAAGAGCUCGUAGGUGGCCUGUCGCGUCGGCUGUGAAAACUCGGGGCUCAACUCCGAGCUUGCAGUCGAUACGGGCAGGCUAGAGUUCGGCAGGGGAGACUGGAAUUCCUGGUGUAGCGGUGAAAUGCGCAGAUAUCGGGAAGAACACCCGUGGCGAAGGCGGCUCUCUGGGACGGUACUGACGCUGAGACGCGAAAGCGUGGGGAGCGAACAGG